Molecule: non-coding RNA, 715 nt
Organism: Salvelinus sp. IW2-2015
Lineage: Eukaryota; Metazoa; Chordata; Actinopteri; Salmoniformes; Salmonidae
Source: RefSeq, a predicted model, not a curated record
AUGUCUAUUCCUCCAUCAWGUCCAAACUACCUGAUCUCAGGUGGAGAGAUGAGGAGUCUCGCAUGUCUGUUUUGAAUAAGAUUCAGUCUCUAACUCCAAGACUUUCAACUAAAAACAACAUUUUCAGUGAAGCUGAACUCAGCCAACUGUAUUCAAAGGAAGAGUAUUUUAUUGUAGUGGAACUAGUCUACAUUGCCAAUAAGAUAUAGGAUUUCUUAAUCAAUAUCACUAUUGAAUCAUAUUACCAGUGAUGAUAAUACAUUGUACUAUAUACGUACUGGUAGUUAAUUUUCCCCCAUUUAUUUAAUUAAUAGGUGACAAUUGACAAACACAAGUAUUUCUCCAACUACAUCCAGUCUCUCUCCCUCUAGCACCAGGGAUCAAACAAACUCUUUUCCCAGACUGAAGGAGAUGAUAUGUGAGAGCCCAGUUGUCAUGAAAAGUCUGUGAUUUGGUUUGGGUAGAUAUGUGUUAUUAAUAUGUGAAUAUGAGAAUUGAGCAUUCUCUCUCUCUUGCCCUCUCUCUAUCUCUCUGUCUCUCCAUCUUCUCCUCCAGUUGGUCCAUCACUCCAUUUCUCUCCGUCAAUGAGCUAGUCUUUCCCAUGGGGAUGUUUGUCCAGCCUCUCUUCCACCCUAGCUAUCCCAGGUCCGUCAACUUCGGGGUUUUGGGGUCUUUGAUGGCCAAAGAUAUUCUCCAUCUCCUUCUACCAAAUAGU